Molecule: transfer RNA, 73 nt
Filed under: Schleiferilactobacillus shenzhenensis LY-73
Lineage: Bacteria; Bacillati; Bacillota; Bacilli; Lactobacillales; Lactobacillaceae
Description: Lactobacillus shenzhenensis LY-73 tRNA-Val
Rfam family: tRNA
About the family: Transfer RNA (tRNA) molecules are approximately 80 nucleotides in length. Their secondary structure includes four short double-helical elements and three loops (D, anti-codon, and T loops).
Source: RNAcentral
GGAGGCUUAGCUCAGCUGGGAGAGCAUUUGCAUCACAUGCAAGGGGUCGCAGGUUCGAACCCUGCAGUCUCCA